CAUGCCAUGUAGUCAGGAGAGUCCUUCUGGGGUUUGAAGGCCAACAUGAAUUCAGAAAAGAUAAAACCAGGUCAGCACUCGAGGACAAAGACCAGAAACAGCAUAGGCGAACCACGACUACUCAGUGUGGACAGAGCCAAUGCCAAGCCUGGCACCAGCCAAGAUGCAAAGCUGAGUCAACUGGCUUAUCCUCUCUACCUUCUGUGAGUUCAGUUCUAGGCCCUCUUUUCAUGCUGUACUUCCUUCUAGGUCUAUUUCUGUGUCAUGAGGCUAGGAGCCUGAAAAAAUAAUGAAAACUAGUCCCUGUCACCUGCUGAAAUAAUUCCAUUAUCAUAUUAGUCCUACAAGUUCAGGGGGGAACACAG
Non-coding RNA from Ceratotherium simum simum (southern white rhinoceros), 365 nucleotides. The record is from RefSeq and is a predicted model, not a curated record. NCBI's taxonomy places the organism in Eukaryota, Metazoa, Chordata, Mammalia, Perissodactyla, Rhinocerotidae.